UCAGAAAUUUCCUGUAAGCUCUCUUUUCAGCACAUACUUUGGUACCUCACAAUCUUAAAAACAUUGCCCACUGCCUUCUUUCCCCUGCAGAAUACAUGCUAUUGGAAAAGUAUUGGAAAAGACGAUUCAAAACUUUAUCAGACAUCUAUGCUCAAGAUGCAAAUAGGCCAGAUUUUACAGUCCAACAGCUGGCUGGAGAAGGGGAUUUACAGAAACCCUGUGACCAAGCUGACACCUUACCUCAGGCAGCACUACAAGACUUGGCUAUUGCAGCAAAAACCUCCUUGCUCCUUACCCCAGAUGACUCUACCCCUACCCAACACUUCUCUAGUAUUAAACAAGGAGUAGAUGAAAGCUUUAUCAGGUUUGUAGACAGAAUUAAAGAUGCUCUGGAAAAACAGAUAGAGAGCACAAGAGGCAAGAAAAGAACUGUUGUGCCAGCUUGCCUUAUCAAAUGCAAAUGAACAAUGUAAAACAAUUCUGAGGGCCCUACCCUUGGAUACAGAACCCACCAGAGAGCAAAUGGUGGAAAGCUGUACACGUCAUUUGUCCUCUGAAAACACAGUGGCCCAAGCCGUUGCUAAGGGCAUUGCAGAAGGAGUUUCUGGUGCAGUUGCAGCAGUAACUUCCAAAGACCAGGCCUGCUGCUAUCACUGUGGGGAAUUUGCACAUUUUAUAAAGGACUGUCCGGACAGGUCACCUACCCAAAACCCCCAAAACACCUACCAAAGACCCCAGAACCAGCAGCACUACCAGCAGUGUUUGGGAAACUUCCAAUGGAGCGCGGCCAGGCCCCGCACAAAGACAACAAAUCAAAAGCCAUCCAGACCCAACCAUGCAUCAUCCCAGGAGAUUCCAGGCCACCUGGAGAGGAUCCAACCCACGGAGCGAUACAGAUGGGAACACGGCGCCAGUUGGUGACACUCUCCAUGGCCCAGAGGAAAUCUUUGUUGUUCCAGAAGGCAAGCUGGCAACCAUCCGCCCAUUUGUGGUAAGAGCCCCCAUCACCCUUUGGGGCAGGGACGUUCUAUCCCAAUGGGGAGUUUCCCUACGUAUUCCCAGUCAGGAUUUCUGACUGGGCCACUGAGGUGUGCAUAUUACCAGAUACCCCUCAGCUCAGCUGGAAAGGCCAAGACCUGAUCUGGAUUGACCAGUGGCCCCUCUCUAAAGUAAAACUGUGCACUACAAGCCCUUGUGGAAGAACAGCUCACCAAAGGUCACAUCGUAGAGACCACCAGCCCUUGGAACUCUCCAGUCUUCGUACUGCAAAAACCUGGAACGGACAGGUGGAGGCUCCUCCAUGACCUUCGCAAAAUCAAUGAGAUCAUCGAGGACAUGGGCCCCCUCCAGCCUGGCCUGCCUUCACCAUCGAUGCUGCCUCGAGACUGGACACUUGCCAUCGUAGAUAUUAAAGACUGUUUCUUCAGCAUUGCGCUGCACCCCCAGGACGCUCUAUGGUUUUUUUCUCCGUUCCCUCUCUUAACAGAGAGGCUCCACUCAAAAGAUACCAUUGGUUGUAUCUUCCCCAGGGACUGAAAGUCUCACCUACUAUAUGCCAGUGGUACGUUGCUCACAUCCUGUCUCCUGUUCGGAACCUAUUUCCAGAUGCAAUCAUCUACCACUACAUGGAUGAUAUCCUGGUCUGUGCAUCAGCAAAAACUUAGACAUAAAGCAGUUAAAUGGACAAUCAAAACCAUAGAAAAAACAGGAUUCGAGAUCCGUGAGGACAAAAUACAGUACACCAACCCAUGGGCUUAUCUUGGAUUCCUGAUCCGGGAAAGGACCAUCAUACCCCAGCAGCUCGCCAUCUGAGACGACCCAAAAACCCUGAGAGACUUACACAGUCUGUACAGAUCCAUCAGCUGGGUACGUCCCCUGCUAGGAAUUACAACAGAGGACCUUGCUCCCCUGUUCACCCUUCUCCGUGGCAAUGAGGACCUCGACUCUCCAUGCACACUCACAACAGAAGCCCGAGACACCAUCACCAAGGUCCAAGAAGCCCUGUCUGCACGCCAAGCCCAUCGCUUCGAGCCCAAGCUGCCUUUCCAGUUCGUCAUUCCUGGAAAAGCACCCCGGUUCUAUGGACUGAUUUUCCAAUGGGAUCUUCAACUCCUAGACCAUUUAUUGAUACUGGAAUGGAUCUUUACAAACAACCAACCUUCAAAGACAAUUACCACUUUCCAAGAAAUCAUGGGACAUUUAAGAAAAUAAGCCAGAACUCGCCUCCGCUCCCUUGCUGGGUGUGAGUUCACAUGCAUAUACUUGCCACUGACCACUGGGGACCUGGAGCAUUUGCUCCAGACCAAUAAAAACCUCCAAUUUGCCCUAGACAGCUAUACAGGCCAAAUUUCCAUCCAUAUCCCAAAACACAAACUUUUUAAUGCAGUCUUUAAUCUGACCCCAAAAUUAGUCCAAAGUAAAACACCACUCAAAGCUCUAACAAUUUUUGCACACAGCUCAGGGUCAUCCCACAAGGGAUGUCGACUGAUAAGUGUAUGUAUUUUGACCUUCCAAAAUGUGGGAAGUGAGUUACAUCUGUCUGCCACAGCUGGCAGCUGUUCAGGCCUCGGGGAUUGGCUCCUGUCCCCAUAGAUGGUAUCUGGUAAUUUUGACAGUUCAAGCAUGUGGCCACAAUAGCUUUCGCUUGAUCUUUUGAAAGCUUGAACAUUCUGAUGAGGGAAGGUAUAUUUUGAUAGUAAAAUGUGUGUGACAACUUUGCCUGGGCAAAGAUGUCAGGGACAUUGACAGUUUCUAUUGCCAUGGCUAAUGCGACCACUUUCCUGUUCCCUUCUGUGAUGAAACCUGGGAGAUCGGUGUGUGACCUCACAUGCAUUGUAUGGUAAGGUUGCUUUCUGUGAGAGAUUGAGCAUGUUAAUGCCAAAAUAAGUUUGUGUAACUUUGGAUUGGAAAUCUCUUUAAGAAGAGUGUGUUCUGCUCUCAUAGCUAUACCUGCAACAUAUGCCGAAUCUGUGAGCAGAUUAAAAGGUUUGUCUUCGAAUUUCUCAAAGGCUCUGACAACAGCUGCUAAUUUUGCAAUCUGUGGAGAUCCCUUGAAGGACUUAAAAGUAGAAAACAACCCAGACUGGGUCAAUGACCUUUUCGGUCAGUGGGGAUUACCGAGAUGGGUUCCAUCUUUGGUUAAGGGAAUUUUGUGGAUUUUCAUUGUAAUUGUCAUUGUGUUAGCUAUGUUCUCAUGCCUUGUCCUCUGUUUUAAAAGAACUAUAGGGCACGCCUUUUUCCUAAAUACAGAAAGUGGAGUUGUAGCAGUCAGAGGCCCUGCAAGGCCUCCCUGGCAGUCACUCACCUAAGAUAAGAAAUGCCUAAGUCACGGUGACUGGACCAAAGAAGCCCCUCUUCUGCAUUCAGACCCUUCUUAUCUCUCUGUAAGGCUAUAGGUCAUAUUCUCCUCAAACCUGGCAACUGGACAAUUUCCAACACCCCAGUACCCCAUAUAAACGCCCAUUUCUAUCCAGUUUGGCAGAACUGUCACUGCAUCCCUUCAGAGGAGCUGGCAAUAAAGGACAUCGCUGUGGAACCACAUACAGCCUUUUCCUCUCUCUAUCCCUGUGUGUCUGCCAGAGGCACUUGUGAGCACAGAGCGAAAUCACUGAGAGCUGAACUCACAGAGCUGAAAUCACUCCAGAGGUGCUCGCUAAGUUGCCUGUGGCUGGGAGCUGAGCCGAGGGACCCAGACAGGCUGAGCCUGACAGCGCAGCGCUAUCCGGACACCCACGGCAGCGGCAGCCCGGGGGUCAGAUGGACCCCUGGGACCCCAGGCUGCAUUAACCAGGAGUGACUGGGAUCACAGAGGAACCAUAAAGGAAGUUACUGCAAUAAU
Taeniopygia guttata (zebra finch) is the source of this 3838-nucleotide non-coding RNA. NCBI's taxonomy places the organism in Eukaryota, Metazoa, Chordata, Aves, Passeriformes, Estrildidae. The record is from RefSeq and is a predicted model, not a curated record.